UACAGAGGGGGCAAGCGUUGUUCGGAAUUACUGGGCGUAAAGGGCGCGUAGGCGGCCUUCUAAGUCGAACGUGAAAUCCCUGGGCUCAACCCAGGAACUGCGUCCGAUACUGGAAGGCUUGAAUCCGGGAGAGGGAUGCGGAAUUCCAGGUGUAGCGGUGAAAUGCGUAGAUAUCUGGAGGAACACCGGUGGCGAAGGCGGCGUUCUGGACUGCAACUGACACUGAGGAACGAAAGCCAGGGGAGCAAACGGG
This 253-nucleotide ribosomal RNA is filed under the name uncultured bacterium. Its description in RNAcentral is "partial 16S ribosomal RNA". It matches the Rfam family "Bacterial small subunit ribosomal RNA", at positions 524 to 776 of the family's 1533-position model. The record is from RNAcentral.